Long non-coding RNA from Lynx canadensis (Canada lynx), 568 nucleotides. RefSeq lists it as uncharacterized. Lineage: Eukaryota; Metazoa; Chordata; Mammalia; Carnivora; Felidae. The record is from RefSeq and is a predicted model, not a curated record. The transcript has 3 exons.
GAUGCUCUAGGGACUUUGGACAGCUGUGAAGGUGGCUAUCUCGGGUGCAUAUCAUGGAAUGAGGGUCCGCUUCUAGAAAGCCCAGGGCUACGAGGCAGAACUCCAGCAGAGGCUGUCUUCAGUGGAGAGAGAACUCACAGGAAAGCAGGAUUCCAGAAGACCACCUGAAUCACCAGUUUCUCCCUGUGCGGCUCACCCUGGAGGACAACCACGGCCACACCCUGCCCACCCUUUCUGUAUUUCCACUGGGACAGCUCUGCUAGCAGCGGGGACCUUCGGAAGGAGGUGGGGCGCGUCUCAGGGAUUCCAGGAUCCGCACCAUCAGCCCAGCCUCCCUCUCCAGCGCCAGUCCCAGCCCAGGAAAUCUUUACCAAGACAGCUCAUCAGCCCUUCAGAGUCAAAACAUUCGAGGAUCAACCAUAUCAUCUUCUUUCCAAAACCAACAUCCUCUUUGGAAUUCCUUAUCUUACCUCUCCAACCCAUUUAGGCUCAAACUCUCUGAUUCAUUCUCUUUGCCCCAAAAUAUCAAGGCUUGUUGGUUUUAAUAAAGACACUGUGCCUCCGUUCA